AACGAACGCUGGCGGCAGGCUUAACACAUGCAAGUCGAACGAGCUGGGUCCUUCGGGGCCCGAUGCUAGUGGCGCACGGGUGAGUAACACGUGGGAAUAUGCCCUUUAGUACGGAAUAACAGUUAGAAAUGACUGCUAAUACCGGAUAAUGUCUUCGGACCAAAGAUUUAUCGCCCAGGGAUGAGCCCGCGUAGGAUUAGCUAGUUGGUGAGGUAAAGGCUCACCAAGGCGACGAUCCUUAGCUGGUCUGAGAGGAUGAUCAGCCACACUGGGACUGAGACACGGCCCAGACUCCUACGGGAGGCAGCAGUGGGGAAUAUUGGACAAUGGGCGAAAGCCUGAUCCAGCAAUGCCGCGUGAGUGAUGAAGGCCUUAGGGUUGUAAAGCUCUUUUACCCGGGAUGAUAAUGACAGUACCGGGAGAAUAAGCCCCGGCUAACUCCGUGCCAGCAGCCGCGGUAAU
Molecule: ribosomal RNA, 462 nt
Filed under: uncultured bacterium
Lineage: Bacteria
Description: bacterial SSU rRNA
Rfam family: Bacterial small subunit ribosomal RNA
Source: RNAcentral